Non-coding RNA from Marinobacter sp. T13-3, 90 nucleotides. The record is from Rfam. NCBI's taxonomy places the organism in Bacteria, Pseudomonadati, Pseudomonadota, Gammaproteobacteria, Pseudomonadales, Marinobacteraceae.
CCACCUGAUCCCAUCCCGAACUCAGAAGUGAAACAGACCUGCGCCGAUGGUAGUGUGGUUCGCCCAUGUGAGAGUAGGUCAUCGUCAGGC